CUUCCCGCAUUUACGGGUUUUUUCUAAUUUAAUUAUAAUUUAAAUCCUGUUCUGUUCUAGUGUGAUAAGGUCCUUAGACAUUGUGAAGACUUACGUAAACCACAAUUUGUCAAAAGAUAGCGAAGAAAGGAUAGAGAUUCCAGUGAAAAUUGCCACUGCAGAAAGAAACCAGCUACAUAUGCACUUGGUUGGAUUCAGCAUGAGCUUACAGCAAAAAGCUUACAGAGAGAGAGAGAGAUGAUUUUGAGCUUUAUGCUGGGUUUUGAAACUGCAGGACUCCACAUUUUUUAUGUACAUUUUUAUGGCUAAAGCAGUUAGGGUAAGCUGAUAACUCUGUGUGCAUGUGCAUGAGCACAUGCACACAUCUGUCCUCAAAAAAGUGGAAAAAUCUUAACCCCCCUGUCCAAAGAAAUGACUCUCAGUUUUUUUUUCUCUACUUUUUAGUGAGUGACCAUGGAUCCAACAGCUCUGGGAGAGGGAGCACUGCACCCAUCUAACACCUCGAAAGCAGCAUAACUGGCAGAUUUGCCAUGUAAAGAAGGGAGGAAGAAUUCACUACAAGAGUGUUCAUCAGCACUGAAUUCUGCUGUAUCCCUUGAGGAUUUCUUCAGUCUGUUUCACUGGCAGAUUCUACAGAUCUGUAGAAAUAUUUUGAUUGCAGGGAGCUGGGUUUGCUUUUUUUUUUUUUUUUUUUUUAAUGUCUCUGAGAUGCUGCCUAAAGCUGCUUUUUGUAAUUCCUUCUUGCAGAAUAGUAUUAAGUUAAUGAAAACCAAUCCUCCUCCAUGUUUUUGCUCUGUGAAAAGCCUCUUAAUGGACAUGUCUGUCUAAAUCAAUUAAACAUUGUAACGAUCAAACAUUUGAGAGUGAUGCUUCCAUUUCUGAACUGGAGGUCAUUCCCCCUCACCCCAAUAUUGGAGAGAAAUGGGACAGAAAAUUCCCUGAUUCCUUCCUCAUCUGGCCAUCUCUACUUUUUUGGCAAAAGUGAUUAAAUGGCCUUGUUUUCAUUUCUAGCUGUUCAUUGUUUCAAUUACUACAAGAUCUAAUAUGCUUUUAGUUUUUUUUGGGGGGGGGGGGGGGAGGUGCAACUUCCUAUGCAGAGAUGCUUUACAAUCCUGAAGGUAUGACCUAAAUUUUUUGAAGACUGUAUUAAAUAAUAAAGAGAUUUGUUUCCUUUU
Long non-coding RNA from Sceloporus undulatus (fence lizard), 1175 nucleotides. RefSeq lists it as uncharacterized. The record is from RefSeq and is a predicted model, not a curated record. NCBI's taxonomy places the organism in Eukaryota, Metazoa, Chordata, Lepidosauria, Squamata, Phrynosomatidae. The transcript is spliced from 3 exons.